This is a non-coding RNA of Triticum aestivum (bread wheat), 135 nucleotides long. The record is from Rfam. Lineage: Eukaryota; Viridiplantae; Streptophyta; Magnoliopsida; Poales; Poaceae.
GUAGUAUUCCCUCCGUCCCAAAAUUCUUGUCUUACAUUUGUUUAGAUACAGAUGUAUCUAACACUAAAAUGUAACUUGAUACAUCCGUAUUAAGAGAAAUUUAAGACAAGAAUUUUGGGAUGGAGGGAGUACAAA